Molecule: ribosomal RNA, 1524 nt
Filed under: gut metagenome
Description: bacterial SSU rRNA
Rfam family: Bacterial small subunit ribosomal RNA
Source: RNAcentral
AGAGUUUGAUCCUGGCUCAGGAUGAACGCUAGCGACAGGCUUAACACAUGCAAGUCGAGGGGCAGCAUUGGCUUAGCUUGCUAAGUCAGAUGGCGACCGGCGCACGGGUGAGUAACGCGUAUGCAACCUGCCCAUCAGAGGGGGAUAACCCGGCGAAAGUCGGACUAAUACCCCAUGAAACAGGGGUCCCGCAUGGGAAUAUUUGUUAAAGAUUCAUCGCUGAUGGAUGGGCAUGCGUUCUAUUAGGCAGUUGGCGGGGUAACGGCCCACCAAACCGACGAUAGAUAGGGGUUCUGAGAGGAAGGUCCCCCACAUUGGUACUGAGACACGGACCAAACUCCUACGGGAGGCAGCAGUGAGGAAUAUUGGUCAAUGGGCGAGAGCCUGAACCAGCCAAGUCGCGUGAAGGAAGAAGGAUCUAUGGUUUGUAAACUUCUUUUAUAGGGGAAUAAAGUGUGGGACUUGUCCCGUUUUGCAUGUACCCUAUGAAUAAGCAUCGGCUAACUCCGUGCCAGCAGCCGCGGUAAUACGGAGGAUGCGAGCGUUAUCCGGAUUUAUUGGGUUUAAAGGGUGCGUAGGUUGCCGGUUAAGUCAGCGGUGAAAGUCUGUGGCUCAACCAUAGAAUUGCCGUUGAAACUGUCCGGCUUGAGUACGAUUGAGGUAGGCGGAAUGCGUGGUGUAGCGGUGAAAUGCAUAGAUAUCACGCAGAACCCCGAUUGCGAAGGCAGCUUACCAAGCCGUGACUGACACUGAUGCACGAAAGCGUGGGGAUCAAACAGGAUUAGAUACCCUGGUAGUCCACGCAGUAAACGAUGAUCACUAGCUGUUUGCGAUACACUGUAAGCGGCACAGCGAAAGCGUUAAGUGAUCCACCUGGGGAGUACGCCGGCAACGGUGAAACUCAAAGGAAUUGACGGGGGCCCGCACAAGCGGAGGAACAUGUGGUUUAAUUCGAUGAUACGCGAGGAACCUUACCCGGGUUUGAACGUGGUUGGACCGGUGUGGAAACACGCCCUCUAGCGAUAGCCGACCACGAGGUGCUGCAUGGUUGUCGUCAGCUCGUGCCGUGAGGUGUCGGCUUAAGUGCCAUAACGAGCGCAACCCUCGCCGCCAGUUGCUAACAGGUAACGCUGAGGACUCUGGCGGGACUGCCAGCGUAAGCUGUGAGGAAGGCGGGGAUGACGUCAAAUCAGCACGGCCCUUACAUCCGGGGCGACACACGUGUUACAAUGGCGUGGACAAAGGGAAGCCACCUGGCGACAGGGAGCGAAUCCCCAAACCACGUCUCAGUUCGGAUCGGAGUCUGCAACCCGACUCCGUGAAGCUGGAUUCGCUAGUAAUCGCGCAUCAGCCAUGGCGCGGUGAAUACGUUCCCGGGCCUUGUACACACCGCCCGUCAAGCCAUGGGAGCCGGGGGUACCUGAAGUCCGUAACCGCGAGGAUCGGCCUAGGGUAAAACUGGUGACUGGGGCUAAGUCGUAACAAGGUAGCCGUACCGGAAGGUGCGGCUGGAACACCUCCUUU